ACAAGAUUGGUAAAGGCUGAAUGACUUCACCAGGUGGACCCUGUAAAGAAGAUAAUAUACACCCAAAGAGGGAAGAUAAUGUGAAGAGACACAGGGGAAAGACAGCCACCACAAGCCAAGAAGAGAAGUGCAGAACAGACCCUUCCGCCAUGGACCUCAGAAGGAACCAACACUGCUGACACCUUGUUCUAGGACUUCUAGCCUCCAACACUGGGAGACAAUACAUUUUUGUGGUUUGAGCCACCGACUCUGUGGUACUUUGCUAUGGUAGCCCUAGCAAACUAGUAUACAUAUAGUUGGAAAGAUUUUAGCUCAAGAAAGAAGAAUAACAUUUCUUUCACAUGGACCUAUAUUUUAAUUCUACCAUUUAAUUAGUUAUGUGAAGCCUAGAACAUUUUAGUAUUAAUAAAGUGGUAGCUAUUACUAUUGUUUUUAUUAGUAUCUUUAUAAUGCACUAGGAAAAAAUGUGAAGCAUCUGAAUUUUUGUCAUUAUUCCUAGAGUCAAGUAAAAAUGUAUCUUUACGGCAUAAAAUAAGUUGGUUUCAUUAACGUGACAAAAUAGUAUAUGAUUCUCUUGAAAAAAUAAUAAAAACAAGACUAUAAUAUACAAUUAAGGCAUUUAUAUUUGAAGAGUGAAAUCAAUUAAAAUUUAAGUCUUGGCAUGUAGAUUUGAUUACUUAAAUGAUAUAAUGUUUCCUAUAAAAUCAGCACUUUUGGCAGAAUGUGCUUUUUGUCUAUCUUAUAAGUUCAGAGAAAUCAUUGGCAGCUUCCAGAUGCAAACUGUCAGAACAUCACUCUUGUUAACAUAUACUUACUGGAGACCCAGGAGGCCCUGGAAGACCACUGUCAC
RNAcentral lists this long non-coding RNA (850 nucleotides) under Homo sapiens (human). RNAcentral describes it as "HSALNT0011691". The record is from RNAcentral. Lineage: Eukaryota; Metazoa; Chordata; Mammalia; Primates; Hominidae.